CCUUGUACACACCGCCCGUCACACCAUGGGAGUGGGUUGCACCAGAAGUAGCUAGUCUAACCUUCGGGGGGACGGUUACCACGGUGUGAUUCAUGACUGGGGUGAAGUCGUAACAAAGGUACC
Molecule: ribosomal RNA, 123 nt
Filed under: uncultured bacterium
Lineage: Bacteria
Description: partial 16S ribosomal RNA
Rfam family: Bacterial small subunit ribosomal RNA
Source: RNAcentral